CCUACGGGAGGCAGCAGUGGGGAAUAUUGGACAAUGGGCGAAAGCCUGAUCCAGCCAUGCCGCGUGUGUGAAGAAGGCCUUCGGGUUGUAAAGCACUUUCAGUGGGGAAGAAAGCCUUGGGGCUAAUACCCUCGAGGAAGGACAUCACCCACAGAAGAAGCACCGGCUAACUCCGUGCCAGCAGCCGCGGUAAUACGGAGGGUGCGAGCGUUAAUCGGAAUUACUGGGCGUAAAGCGCGCGUAGGCGGCCUGAUAAGCCGGUUGUGAAAGCCCCGGGCUCAACCUGGGAACGGCAUCCGGAACUGUCAGGCUAGAGUGCAGGGGAGGAAGGUAGAAUUCCCGGUGUAGCGGUGAAAUGCGUAGAGAUCGGGAGGAAUACCAGUGGCGAAGGCGGCCUUCUGGACUGACACUGACGCUGAGGUGCGAAAGCGUGGGUAGCAAACAGGAUUAGAUACCCCUGUAGUC
RNAcentral lists this ribosomal RNA (465 nucleotides) under Vreelandella stevensii. Its description in RNAcentral is "partial 16S ribosomal RNA". It matches the Rfam family "Bacterial small subunit ribosomal RNA", at positions 338 to 795 of the family's 1533-position model. Lineage: Bacteria; Pseudomonadati; Pseudomonadota; Gammaproteobacteria; Oceanospirillales; Halomonadaceae. The record is from RNAcentral.